This 604-nucleotide ribosomal RNA is filed under the name uncultured Bacteroidota bacterium. RNAcentral's name for it is "bacterial SSU rRNA". It matches the Rfam family "Bacterial small subunit ribosomal RNA", at positions 56 to 655 of the family's 1533-position model. Lineage: Bacteria; Pseudomonadati; Bacteroidota. The record is from RNAcentral.
UGCAAGUCGAGGGGUAACAGGGAGCUUCGGUUCCGCUGACGACCGGCGCACGGGUGCGUAACGCGUAUGAAACCUGCCUUAUACUGGGGGAUAGCCCGAAGAAAUUCGGAUUAAUACCCCAUAAUAUAAUUGAUUGGCAUCAAUUAAUUAUUAAAACUCCGGUGGUAUAAGAUGGUCAUGCGUGACAUUAGCUAGUUGGUGAGGUAACGGCUCACCAAGGCGACGAUGUCUAGGGGUUCUGAGAGGAAGGUCCCCCACACUGGUACUGAGACACGGACCAGACUCCUACGGGAGGCAGCAGUGAGGAAUAUUGGUCAAUGGGCGAAAGCCUGAACCAGCCAUGUCGCGUGCAGGAUGACUGCCCUAUGGGUUGUAAACUGCUUUUAUAUGGGAAGAAUGUGACCUACGUGUAGGUUUUUGCCGGUACCAUAUGAAUAAGCAUCGGCUAACUCCGUGCCAGCAGCCGCGGUAAUACGGAGGAUGCGAGCGUUAUCCGGAUUCAUUGGGUUUAAAGGGUGCGUAGGCGGAAGUGUAAGUCAGGGGUGAAAGUUUGCAGCUCAACUGUAAAAUUGCCUUUGAUACUGCAUUUCUUGAGUACAUUUGA